GGAUUAGAUACCCUGGUAGUCCACGCCCUAAACGAUGAGAACUAGCUGUUGGGGGAAUAAAGUCCUUUAGUAGCGCAGCAAACGCGAUAAGUUCUCCGCCUGGGGAGUACGGCCGCAAGGUUAAAACUCAAAUGAAUUGACGGGGGCCCGCACAAGCGGUGGAGCAUGUGGUUUAAUUCGAUGCAACGCGAAGAACCUUACCUAGCCUUGACAUCCUGAGAAUCUUCGAGAGAUUGAAGAGUGCCUUCGGGAACUUAGAGACAGGUGCUGCAUGGCUGUCGUCAGCUCGUGCCG
Molecule: ribosomal RNA, 294 nt
Filed under: uncultured bacterium
Lineage: Bacteria
Description: partial 16S ribosomal RNA
Rfam family: Bacterial small subunit ribosomal RNA
Source: RNAcentral